RNAcentral lists this unclassified non-coding RNA (332 nucleotides) under soil metagenome. RNAcentral describes it as "partial contains 5.8S ribosomal RNA, internal transcribed spacer 2, and large subunit ribosomal RNA". The stretch from base 1 to 120 matches the Rfam family "5.8S ribosomal RNA", at positions 35 to 154 of the family's 154-position model. The record is from RNAcentral.
GAUGAAGAACGUAGCGAAAUGCGAUAAGUAAUGUGAAUUGCAGAAUUCAGUGAAUCAUCGAAUCUUUGAACGCACAUUGCGCCCCUUGGUAUUCCGGGGGGCAUGUCUGUUCGAGCGUCAUUUCAACCCUCAAGCUCUGCUUGGUAUUGGGCCCGGUGGGCGAUUGCCUACCAGCCUUAAAGAGAGUGGCGGUGCCCCGCGGCCCUGAGCGUAGUAACUACUCCCGCUAUAGGUGUCCACGGGCUCACCAGCCAGCAACCCCAACUUUCUAUGGUUGACCUCGGAUCAGGUAGGGAUACCCGCUGAACUUAAGCAUAUCAAUAAGCGGAGGA